AUUCAUUUAAUUAACAAUAAAAAUUUCAAAUACAUUUUACAUUACUUCAAUGUCCUACGACGAAGACACAUAUAAUUAAUAGCAUAUUCACUGUAAUUAUUGUGUACAUUUAAUACACCAAAAGUCUAGAAUUGGUUCACAUUAUUGAUGAAGGAUAAUCAAUAUAACAUUCAUAAAUCCAAAUGAUCGAAUUCUAAAUAAAGCAAAUCUUCUUAGGUUUCAAUUUCCAGAAAUAUCAUAAGUUGGCAAAAAAGGAACAACUACCUAAAGAAAGUAAAAUGAUUUAUAAGAGAUAAGAUAGAAGAAAUCCAAACAAUAUGGGCACCAGUAGAACCAAAAUGAUUAUCUGCAAAGAAAUUGCGAUGAAAUUAAAUCGAAUAAAAUGUCUAAGAACCAAAAAAAAAGAAUAAAUCGUUAAGAUUUUCAUCUCACCAAUAUCUUGCUAUACAUUGAUUUGCUUUCGUAGGCAUUAUAUAGUCUGGGUAAAAAAGGGAUGAUUAGAUAUGAUAAUGUGUCGUAAUAUUAAAGGAAAAAAACAACGUAAGCAGAGUUAUUGGGUUUCAUAGAUUUGUGAUCAAACUAUUUUAAUUUUUAAUUCCAAAUGAACAUAAAAAAAAAUUAAUUUGGACUUUGGAGGUAGAGAAAAUCUGACAAACCUGGUUGUGUCCAACGUUCCAGAGUCAAGACAUGAAGAGCAGUAGAAACAACAAACAAGAUCAACAAUUCAACAAAUAAAUACCAGAGAAUCCAACAAGUAGCAACGGAGGGAGAAGUGGAGAAGAGAUUCCCGGAGUCCGGAGAAGAGCUAGAGUCCCGAAGUGGAGAAGAGAAGUGGAGAAGAUGGAUUUGGGGGAAAACGGGGGAGAAGAGGGUUUGAAGAUUAAUAUAUUGUGAAAUUUAUAUAUUAACCUUUAAAAAAUAUUAAUAUAUUGUGAAAAUUACACUUAACCCCCUAUAAAAAAAAUUAUUACAUAUAGGUCCUCGCUUUUUUUCCAAAUUUUAGGGGGGGCAAUUGCCCUCCCUUGCCCCCUCCUGGAUACGCCUCAGUCACCGCACCAACUGAGGUAAAUUAUUAUUCAAUUAAAAGGGAUCUCAUACUACACAAAGAUACAAUCCUAGUUCCAAACGAUGAAGAUCUACAGAAUUCAAUAUUCGAGGAAGCUAUGAGCCCAAUUGAUCUUGGUCACCACAAGAAGAAGAUCUUUUGGUAGUGGUGAAGAAGUUGAUGAAGUUAAAGAAUUUAAAAAUUAAUUAUUAUCGAUAAUUUUUGUUAAUUUACUUAAUUAUUAUCUAUUUACAUUUGAACUAUUUAAUUUUUAACUAUUUGAGCUAUAAUUUCAUACUUCUUAUUUUUUUAUUCAGUAUUUUACAUUAUUGUUUAAAAUCAUUAAAAAAAAAUCAAUAAUUUGGUCUAGGUACCUCUUUGUCCUCAGUCAUACCCACUCACCCCUACAGAGAUCUCUCGAAUCCCCCAUCCGUUGAAGAAGACCUGGUUACAAUUGAAGAUUCGGUAUCAAGACAUUGUAGGGAAAUGGUAUGUUUAAUUUAUUUUGUUUAAUUGUUGAAUGAAAUGGUGACAUGACAUAUAUAAGAGGAAAUAAAGUAAUGAAUAGGGGAUAGAACUGUGGAAGAAACGAUGAAUAAUAGGAACUAAUAUUUAGAAGAGUUAAAUAUGGAAGGUGACUGUUUAGCAUUUUUGAUGCGGUACGUCGGAUCUCAUCAUCACGAGUGGAUCUCAUCUCACAAUUUUUUUUAUAAUAGUUUGCAUCAGAAACCAUCUAUAUUUUUUAAAAUUCAUACAUAAAGAAUUCAUAAUAUAUCCAUAAUUAGAUAAAAACUCAAAGUUAUUAAAUCUUAAUUAUUGGACUUAAUUCUGAAGAAGUGUAUCAUCUCCAAUGUAAUAUUUUUUGACACAUAUAUUAAUUUUUGUUUACUUUUUUUUUAAUAAAAAACUUGUUAAUCAAAAUUGAAGAUAUAUAUAGAUCCAUCGGGAACCGGUACUCUGGUGGGAGGCUAAAUAUGUGUAUUUAUUUUGAAAUACGUUCAUUCUUCAUCAAUUUCAUUUUACCGUGAAGUUGCCGUAUCUUCUUCAUCAGAAAAUUUUGAAUCAAUCGCAGCUUUUCGCGAUUUUGUCGAUGAGUCCAAAAAUAAUACUGGUUUGUCAAUCCAAAAAUUCAUCCUUAAAAGGGUUUUCCAUCUCAUCUUUUCUUUUCGACGACGAACAAAAUCUGGUUUCCUUUGAAGAUUUCCUUAGAUGACGACGUUGAAGAGUACUCGAAUCUCACUUCUUCCCCAUCCGUUGAAGAAAACCUGGUUUCAAUUGAAGAUUCGGUAGAUAAUGAUGAAGACAUU
This 2352-nucleotide long non-coding RNA is filed under the name Zostera marina. Its description in RNAcentral is "long non-coding RNA (ZMAR_LNC004588)". The record is from RNAcentral. Lineage: Eukaryota; Viridiplantae; Streptophyta; Magnoliopsida; Alismatales; Zosteraceae.